RNAcentral lists this unclassified non-coding RNA (364 nucleotides) under uncultured bacterium. Its description in RNAcentral is "contains 16S-23S intergenic spacer region". The record is from RNAcentral.
UCCCGGUUGGCCCGGGCAGUCUCGCAUGAAAAAUACAACAUACGAUAAGGGUUGCGCUCGUUGCGGGACUUAACCCAACAUCUCACGACACGAGCUGACGACGGCCAUGCAGCACCUGUCACUAGGCUCCCGAAGGCACUCUCUGAUUUCUCAAAGAUCCCUAGGAUGUCAAGCCUUGGUAAGGUUCUACGCGUAGCGUCAUAUUAAACCACAUCAUCCUCUGCUUGUGCGGGUCCCCGUCAAUUCCUUUGAGUUUUAGCCUUGCGGCCGUACUUCCCAGGCGGCAUACUUAUCGCGUUAGCUGCGUCUCACAGGGGGUCGAUACCCCAUAAGACUAGUAUGCAUCGUUUACGGCGUGGACUAC